GGCGGUGGUAGCUCACUUGGGUAAGCGCCCGCAUCUCACGCAGGAGAUGCGGGUUCGAAUCCCGGCGCUGACA
This 73-nucleotide transfer RNA is filed under the name Plutella xylostella (diamondback moth). Its description in RNAcentral is "tRNA-Glu". Lineage: Eukaryota; Metazoa; Arthropoda; Insecta; Lepidoptera; Plutellidae. The record is from RNAcentral.